CAGGUUUUAAAGGCGAGCCGGAGCGGCUGCGGCGCUCCCGACGGCUGGCAGCUCCGGCUGGGGCUGCGUUGCCCUCGGGCGCCUUCCCCGGAGCCCCGCCGCCCAAGAUGCGCCCCCGGUUCUGCCAGAAGGAGGCGAGACCUGGGACUUGGAGCCGUGCCGCAUGCUCUGUGGAUCAUUAGGAAAAAUACACUCGAGGCAGGAUACUAAUUGGUAUUACGAGCUGGGAGAGACAGAUUAGUCAUACUUCUGCUCAGAAGCGAGCAGCAUUCUGUGCGCCUCUAAAGGAUAAUAUUUCAAGGUGUACCAAGUGUACAGCUUUA
Molecule: long non-coding RNA, 323 nt
Organism: Eublepharis macularius
Lineage: Eukaryota; Metazoa; Chordata; Lepidosauria; Squamata; Eublepharidae
Exons: 3
Source: RefSeq, a predicted model, not a curated record